RNAcentral lists this ribosomal RNA (460 nucleotides) under uncultured bacterium. Its description in RNAcentral is "partial 16S ribosomal RNA". It matches the Rfam family "Bacterial small subunit ribosomal RNA", at positions 338 to 795 of the family's 1533-position model. The record is from RNAcentral.
CCUACGGGAGGCUGCAGUGAGGAAUAUUGGUCAAUGGACGAGAUUCUGAACCAGCCAUGUAGCGUGAAGGAUGACUGCCCUACGAGUUGUAAACUUCUUUUGUAUGGGAAUAAAAUGUUCCACGUGUGGGGUUUUGUAUGUACCAUAUGAAUAAGGAUCGGCUAACUCCGUGCCAGCAGCCGCGGUAAUACGGAGGAUCCGAGCGUUAUCCGGAUUUAUUGGGUUUAAAGGGUGCGUAGGUGGAUUUUUAAGUCAGUUGUGAAAGUUUGAGGCUCAACCGUGAAAUUGCAGCUGAUACUGGCAGUCUAGAGUACAGUAGAGGCGGGCGGAAUGCGUGGUGUAGCGGUGAAAUGCAUAGAUAUCACGAAGAACUCCGAUUGCGAAGGCAGCUCACUGGACUGCAUCUGACACUGAGGCACGAAAGUGUGGGUAUCAAACAGGAUGAGAUACCCCUGUAGUC